This is a long non-coding RNA of Pseudopipra pipra, 590 nucleotides long. RefSeq lists it as uncharacterized. NCBI's taxonomy places the organism in Eukaryota, Metazoa, Chordata, Aves, Passeriformes, Pipridae. The record is from RefSeq and is a predicted model, not a curated record. The transcript has 3 exons.
ACUCCACAUGAGAGGCUGCUGGGGAAAUGAGGAAGCCCUGGCUAAGGACUGUCAUGGUAUGGAUACAGAGAAGAAAUGGAGCAGAAAGUGGCAAAAGAGGCAGGAUCUGCUGCCUGGCACUGGAUGAAGAACAGGUUUAGCAGCAUCAGACUGAAGAUCUGCCCGUUACUCUCACCCCUGCUGAGUUGCUGCAACCGCAACUGAGGCCCCACCGAAAAGCUGUUGCAGAAGCACGUGGUCAAGGACAGCCCUCACCAUGGGCACUUCAUGUUCAAAGGAGGGAGGAUGAGUUGAUGAAAUGAGUUAACUACAGUCCUGAAAGAGUUUCAGAUUUCUGACUGGCCCUGUGGAUGCAACUCUAUGCAAUCAGUUCUGGUGUUAUGUAUGAGAAAACUAAGAAACAGGCUUGCAAAUAAAUUGAGGCAACAAAUGCACAGAGCAUUAAGGUGAGUAUUAUAGGCUCUGAGGCAGAUGCAAUGAACUUAAUCUGAAAAAGUAUGGUGGUCACUAGUUGUAAAACAUUUUCUUGAGCUAGUAUAAUAAAAAUACUAUGGAUUAAGCACAUGAAUGCAAGUACAUCUUGCAGGGAA